UCUGGUUGAUCCUGCCAGUAGUCAUACGCUUGUCUCAAAGAUUAAGCCAUGCAUGUCUAAGUAUAAAGGUAUUUACAAUGAAACUGCGUAUGGCUCAUUCAAACAGUUAUAGUUUAUUUGAUAUUCAAACUUAUAUUUAUAUUAGUUUAAAUGGAUAACCGUAGUAAUUCUAGAGCUAAUACAUGCGUUACGGGGAACUUUACGGAACCCCAGUAUUUAUUAGAUUUUAAACCAGCAUUCCGCAAGGUCUACUGAGAUGAUUCAUGAUAACUGAUCAAAUUGCUGGGUCUACCAGCAAUAAAUCAUUCAUGUUUCUGCUUCCCAUCAGCUUGAUGGUAGUGUAUUGGACAACCAUGGCAUUCACGGGCUAUCGGGGGAUUAGGGUUCGAUUCCGGAGAGGGAGCCUGAGAAACGGCUACCACUUCUACGGAAGGCAGCAGGCGCGAAAAUUAUCCAAUCCUGAUUCAGGGAGGUAGUGAAAGAAAUAAUGAACUAGGAUUUAUCCUGGGAUCACAAUGGGCUUGAUUUGCAAACUUUAUUAGCGAGGAACAAUUGGAGGGCAAGUCUGGUGCCAGCAGCCGCGGUAAUUCCAGCUCCAAUAGUGUAUAUUAAUGUUCCUGCAGUUAUUCGAUGCUCGUAGUUGGAUUUCUGGGGGCUGAUUCUGGACGGCGGCUAUGGCCGCCACCGGUUUUCUUCCUUCAUCCACCUGUUAACGUUGUUCGAGAUUCAUUUCUCGGCUUCGGGCUCAGGUAUUUUACCCUUACUAUAUUCAUUUAUUUAUCUUCUUUUUGAGCAAAUUAUAGUGUUUCAGGCAGGCGUGCGCCGGAAUACUUUAGCAUGGAAUAAUCGAAUUGGACUGUGUUCCUUAUUUGUUGGUUUGAUGGGCACAGAAUGGUUAAUAGGGAUAGUAAUUUUCAGGGGAGGCAUUAGUAUUUAAUUUCCAGAGGUGAAAUUCUUUGAAAUAUUAAAGACUAACUUAUGCGAAAGCAUUUAUUUUGCCAAUAAUGUUUUCAUUAAUCAUUGAACGAAAGUUAGGGGAUCAAAGACGAUCAGAUACCGUCCUAGUCUUAACCAUAAACGUUGCCGACUAGGGAUCGGAGGGCGUGCACAUUCCGCCUUCGGCACCUUACGAGAAAUCAAAGUCUUUUGGGUUCUGGGGGUAGUAUGGUCGCAAGGCUGAAACUUAAAGGAAUUGACGGAAGGGCACCACCAGGAGUGGAGCUUGCGGCUCAAUUUGACUCAACACGGGAAAUCUUACCAGGUCCAGACAUAGCGAGGAUUGACAGAUUGAUAGCUCUUUCUUGAUUCUAUGGGUAUUUUUGGUGGUGCAUGGCCGUUCUUAGUUGGUGGAGUGAUUUGUCUGGUUAAUUCCGUUAAACGAACGAGACCUCAGCCUGCUAAAUAGUUACUUGUCUUUCU
This 1419-nucleotide ribosomal RNA is filed under the name metagenome. RNAcentral describes it as "SSU rRNA". It matches the Rfam family "Eukaryotic small subunit ribosomal RNA", at positions 1 to 1372 of the family's 1831-position model. The record is from RNAcentral.